GAUGAACGCUGGCGGCGUGCCUAAUACAUGCAAGUCGAGCGAACAGACGAGGAGCUUGCUCCUCUGACGUUAGCGGCGGACGGGUGAGUAACACGUGGAUAACCUACCUAUAAGACUGGGAUAACUUCGGGAAACCGGAGCUAAUACCGGAUAAUAUAUUGAACCGCAUGGUUCAAUAGUGAAAGACGGUUUUGCUGUCACUUAUAGAUGGAUCCGCGCCGCAUUAGCUAGUUGGUAAGGUAACGGCUUACCAAGGCAACGAUGCGUAGCCGACCUGAGAGGGGGAUCGGCCACACUGGAACUGGACCACGGUCCAGACUCCUACGGGAGGCAGCAGUAGGGAAUCGUCCGCAAUGGGCGGAAGCCUGACGGAGCAACGCCGCGUGAGUGAUGAAGGUCUUCGGAUCGUAAAACUCUGUUAUUAGGGAAGAACAAAUGUGUAAGUAACUAUGCACGUCUUGACGGUACCUAAUCAGAAAGCCACGGCUAACUACGUG
This 497-nucleotide ribosomal RNA is filed under the name uncultured bacterium. RNAcentral describes it as "partial 16S ribosomal RNA". It matches the Rfam family "Bacterial small subunit ribosomal RNA", at positions 28 to 507 of the family's 1533-position model. The record is from RNAcentral.